This 439-nucleotide ribosomal RNA is filed under the name uncultured bacterium. Its description in RNAcentral is "partial 16S ribosomal RNA". It matches the Rfam family "Bacterial small subunit ribosomal RNA", at positions 339 to 795 of the family's 1533-position model. The record is from RNAcentral.
CUACGGGGGGCAGCAGUGGGGAAUAUUGCACAAUGGAGGAAGCUCUGAUGCAGCAACGCCGCGUGGAGGAUGACACUUUUCGGAGCGUAAACUCCUUUUAUAUAGGAAGAAGAUGACGGUACUAUAUGAAUAAGCGCCGGCUAACUCCGUGCCAGCAGCCGCGGUAAUACGGAGGGCGCAAGCGUUACUCGGAAUCACUGGGCGUAAAGAGCGUGUAGGCGGAUUAAAAAGUCAGAAGUGAAAUCCUAUAGCUUAACUAUAGAACUGCUUCUGAAACUCUUAAUCUAGAAUAUGGGAGAGGUAGAUGGAAUUUCUGGUGUAGGGGUAAAAUCCGUAGAGAUCAGAAGGAAUACCGAUUGCGAAGGCGAUCUACUAGAACAUUAUUGACGCUGAGACGCGAAAGCGUGGGGAGCAAACAGGAUUAGAUACCCCCGUAGUC